GAUGAAGACGUAGCGAAAUGCGAUAAGUAGUGUGAAUUGCAGAAUUCAGUGAAUCAUCGAAUCUUUGAACGCACAUUGCGCCCCUUGGUAUUCCAUGGGGCAUGCCUGUUCGAGCGUCAUUUGUACCUUCAAGCUCUGCUUGGUGUUGGGUGUUUGUCUCGCCUCUGCGUGUAGACUCGCCUCAAAACAAUUGGCAGCCGGCGUAUUGAUUUCGGAGCGCAGUACAUCUCGCGCUUUGCACUCAUAACGACGACGUCCAAAAGUACAUUUUUACACUCUUGACCUCGGAUCAGGUAGGGAUACCCGCUGAACUUAAGCAUAUCAAUAAGCGGAGGA
RNAcentral lists this unclassified non-coding RNA (336 nucleotides) under soil metagenome. Its description in RNAcentral is "partial contains 5.8S ribosomal RNA, internal transcribed spacer 2, and large subunit ribosomal RNA". The stretch from base 1 to 119 matches the Rfam family "5.8S ribosomal RNA", at positions 35 to 154 of the family's 154-position model. The record is from RNAcentral.